AUUAAUAAGAGGGCAUCCAAGUCCGGUCAAAUACCAUAUCAAAGCCCUAAAACCCAUCCACCCCUUCCGCCAUCGAUUCUCUGUUCCUUUGUCUCUCUCGCUGACACUCUCCACUCCUAACUCCUCCCUCAUUCUUUCAUUCACUUCUGCAACUUCACACCUUUUUUUUUUUUUUUUUUUACAUUUAUAUAUACAGAGUAAUAAUAAUAUAUAUAGUAUUAUAUAUAAAUCAAACCUCAAGGCUAGAGAAUUUUCCUAGAAUCAGGAAUCAAGAAUCAAGAAUCCAAAGCCUGCGGUUACAAUACUUGAAUUUGUAGUUUGCUUCUCUUAUUUCAAUUGUCCGUAGGAAACCCUAAAUGUCACGCUCUCUCCCUCCCUUCCUCUCUUCCUGUGGGUGCCAAGUGUUUGUGGUGAAGAUCCGAUUUCUACUCACUCUUUAUCUUAUGGAUGGCGUUGUUAUUCAUCCCUACAUGUGAUACAUACAAGCACGGUCAGUUUUACGAUUCCCUUUCAUCAUGUGAAUCUCUUUUUAUACAAUACGUUGUGAUGUGAUUGCCAUGAUUCUUGUUACACUCUCUGUUUUCCAGUUUUAGAGGUUUUUCAUAGGGCGAAUUCCGUUUUUUUCCUUCUUCUUUUUUUCUCUUUGUGGGUGGGAGGCGGGCUUUAAAUUAAAUAAAUUAGUAAAAUCUCCUCUUCAAAGGGGUGAAUAUGGAGUUCGAACCAUUGAGCAUGGGUAAUGAGGUGAUUGAAUUCGACAUGAUGGGGAUAGGAGAUGACGCCGUCGACAUUGAGCAUCCCGUUGACGAGGACGAUCUUCUCGACUCCUCUGCUGGCGCUGUUGCUGUUUGUGCUUCUGCUUCUGCUGGGGAAGUUUACAUCCCCGAAGGAGAUACUAACCUUGAACCUUACGAGGGUAUGGAAUUUGAAUCCGAAGAGGCUGCCAAGGCCUUCUACAAUUCUUAUGCUCGCCGUGUUGGGUUUAGUACUCGUGUCAGCAUGUCUCGCCGCUCCAGGCGUGAUGGAGCCAUCAUCCAGAGAUCAUUCGUCUGUGCGAAAGAGGGUUUUCGUGUUGACAAGGAGAAACCUGGCCGCGACGGCAGAGUGAAGCGCCCCCGUGCUGAAACCAGAGUUGGUUGUAAGGCCAUGUUGGUGGUUAAGAUUCAAGAUUCAAGCAGAUGGGUUGUCUCUGGGUUUGUCAAGGAACAUAACCAUGAGCUGGUCCCUCCUGAUAAGGUGCAUUGUCUCCGCUCUCACCGCCAUGUUUCUGGUGCCGCCAAGUCCUUGAUUGAUACCUUGCAAGGCGCUGGGAUUGGACCCAGUGGGAUAAUGUCUGCUCUUAUUAAAGAAUAUGGUGGAAUUAGCAAUGUUGGAUUCACAGAGCGUGACUGUAGGAAUUACAUGAGAAGUAGUCGGCAGAGGACCCUUGGAGGGGAUACCCAGCUCCUCUUGGACUAUCUAAGGAACAUGCAAGCUGAGAACCCGGCCUUUGUCUAUGCUGUCCAGGGAGAUGAAGAUCAGUGCAUGAGCAACAUCUUCUGGGCUGACCCAAAGGCAAGGAUGAACUACACUUACUUUGGUGAUACAGUUACCUUUGACACAACAUACAGGUCAAACCGGUAUCGGUUGCCCUUUGCACCCUUUACAGGAGUGAACCAUCAUGGACAGCCUGUGUUGUUUGGCUGUGCCCUCCUAAUAAAUGAAUCUGAAGCAUCAUUUGUUUGGCUAUUUAAAACAUGGCUUGCGGCAAUGUCUGGUCGUCCUCCAGUCUCAAUCACUACCGAUCAUGAUCGAGUGAUUCGAUUGGCCGUUACACAGGUUUUUCCAGUGACCCGUCACCGUUUCUGCAAGUGGCACAUCUUUAAGGAAUGCCAAGAGAAGUUAUCCCAUGUGCUUUCCGGACAUCCGAAUUUUGAAGCAGAACUCCAUAAAUGUGUAAACCUGACUGAGUCCAUUGAAGAGUUUGAAUCUUGUUGGUUUUCCCUAAUUGAUAGAUAUUACCUCAGGGAACAUGAGUGGCUUCAAACAGUUUUUUCUGAUCGCCGGCAGUGGGUCCCUGUAUACUUGAGGGACACUUUCUUUGCAGAAAUGUCCAUAACACAACGCAGCGAUAGCAUGAACUCCUACUUUGAUGGGUAUGUGAAUGCAUCAACAACUCUGCAGCUUUUUGUCAAGCAGUAUGAGAAGGCUUUGGAAAGUCGCUAUGAGAAAGAAGUUAAAGCAGAUUAUGAUACGAUUAAUACUAGCCCCAGUCUAAAGACCCCAUCACCGAUGGAGAAACAGGCAGCUGAACUCUACACAAGGAAACUAUUUAUGAAAUUUCAAGAGGAGCUAGUUGAGACUCUUACUUUCUUGGCGACCAAAGUUGAGGAUCAGGAUGCAAUCAGUAUCUAUCGAGUAGCUAAAUUUGGGGAAAGCCAUAAAGCUUACUUUGUUAGAUUUAAUGUUCGAGAGAUGAAAGCAACUUGUAGCUGCCAGAUGUUUGAGUUCUCUGGCCUACUUUGUAGACAUAUAUUGACAGUCUUCAGGGUGACCAAUGUCCUCACUCUACCAUCUCGCUAUGUUUUGAAGCGAUGGACGAGAAAUGCCAAGAGUGGCGUCAUAUUGGAGGAACGAGCCAAUGAUUUGUUGAAUAGUUCCCGAGAAUCUCUUACUGUGCGAUAUAACAAUCUUCGUCAUGAGGCCCUUAAGUAUGUAGAUGAAGGUGUGAAAACCAUAGACAUCUACAAUGUGGCAGCGGCUGCUUUACAAGAGGCAGCAGAUAAAGUUGCUCUUGCAAAAAAGAAUGGUGGGAGAAUAGCUAAUGUCAAUGGAGCUGGCAGAGAAGACCGCACUACUCAGGGAAAUCAUGCUAGUGCUUCCUUUGGGGAUCAUCAAUGGGGUUUAGAGCAAUCUCCAUCUAUGGAUGACCAAGACAGGAAAAUCCAGAAACUAUCACGUCAGCUGGAACGCGCACGGCGAAAAUGUGAAGUAUAUCGGGCCAACUUGCUCUCGGUUUUGAAAGAUAUUGAAGAGCAGAAACUGCAGCUUUCAGUUAAAGUUCAGAACAUUAAGUUAGGGAUGAAAGACUGAGAUGCAAGUGGGAAGAAGGGUAAUGGGUGUCCCUUUCCGCAGGGUUCUCUCUACUUGGUUGUAAAUAGUGUUUCUCCUCCAUAUGCUCCUACAAGUUACUCUCCUGUAUAAUUGAUUAGGAGAAUUGUGUUUUUCAAACCCCCCAACCACACCUAUCCAGGUCUCUGCCUUUGGUAGGGGGUGGAAGUUCCAGACACCACCGUGCUUGUUAGGAGUCUUCGGUUAACUACUCUUAAUCUAGUGCAAUGGCAAAGCAUGGCGCUUUAAAAUCACAUACUUGUAGCUGUAGGUUGUGAUGAGUCCGUUUUUACCUUCAAUCACCCCUCAACCUGUCAUGUACUGUGGCAGUCAAGGUACCGUACCGCCCUUCUUAAAACUCAAAGAGUUAUCAUCUUUUUUAUAUAAGGAUUAAUAUCAUUUUUAUUUUUGAAAGGAGAAAA
RNA transcript from Vitis vinifera (wine grape), 3509 nucleotides. It is a transcript of the gene named protein FAR1-RELATED SEQUENCE 5, with no coding region annotated. The transcript is spliced from 3 exons. The record is from RefSeq and is a predicted model, not a curated record. Lineage: Eukaryota; Viridiplantae; Streptophyta; Magnoliopsida; Vitales; Vitaceae.